UGGGGAAUUUUGGACAAUGGGCGAAAGCCUGAUCCAGUAAUGCCGCGUGUGUGAAGAAGGCCUUCGGGUUGUAAAGCACUUUUGUCCGGAAAGAAAUCCUUGGCUCUAAUACAGUCGGGGGAUGACGGUACCGGAAGAAUAAGCACCGGCUAACUACGUGCCAGCAGCCGCGGUAAUACGUAGGGUGCAAGCGUUAAUCGGAAUUACUGGGCGUAAAGCGUGCGCAGGCGGUUUGCUAAGACCGAUGUGAAAUCCCCGGGCUCAACCUGGGAACUGCAUUGGUGACUGGCAGGCUAGAGUAUGGCAGAGGGGGGUAGAAUUCCACGUGUAGCAGUGAAAUGCGUAGAGAUGUGGAGGAAUACCGAUGGCGAAGGCAGCCCCCUGGGCCAAUACUGACGCUCAUGCACGAAAGCGUGGGGAGCAAACAGGAUUAGAUACCCUGGUAGUCCACGCCCUAAACGAUGUCAACUAGUUGUUGGGGAUUCAUUUCCUUAGUAACGUAGCUAACGCGUGAAGUUGACCGCCUGGGGAGUACGGUCGCAAGAUUAAAACUCAAAUGAAUUGACGGGGUCAUAGCUGUUU
This 582-nucleotide ribosomal RNA is filed under the name uncultured bacterium. RNAcentral describes it as "partial 16S ribosomal RNA". It matches the Rfam family "Bacterial small subunit ribosomal RNA", at positions 355 to 935 of the family's 1533-position model. The record is from RNAcentral.